CCAGCAGCUGCGGUAAUUCCAGCUCCAAUAGCGUAUAUUACAGUUGUUGCGGUUAAAAAGCUCGUAGUUGGAUUUCUGGCACGAUGCGCCUGGCCCGCCUCAUUACGAGUGUGUGUGCUAGUGCGCGUCUGCCAUCCAUUUACAGAACGGCCGUACCUUUCAUUAGGCCGCUCUCGUGAUGUAAAUCUUUUACUUUGAAAAAAUUAGAGUGUUUAAAGCAGGCAUUUGCUAUGAAUACAUUAGCAUGGAAUAAUAAUCUAGGACUCUGGUUCUAUUUUGUUGGUUUCUAGUACUGGAGUAAUGAUUGCUAGGGAUAGUUGGGGGUGCUAGUAUUUAGGGGCCAGAGGUGAAAUUCUUGGAUUCUCUAAAGACUAACUUAUGCGAAAGCAUUCACCAAGGAUGUCUUCG
RNAcentral lists this ribosomal RNA (408 nucleotides) under uncultured eukaryote. RNAcentral describes it as "SSU rRNA". It matches the Rfam family "Eukaryotic small subunit ribosomal RNA", at positions 567 to 972 of the family's 1831-position model. The record is from RNAcentral.